CCUACGGGAGGCAGCAGUGGGGAAUAUUGGGCAAUGGGGGGAACCCUGACCCAGCGACGCCGCGUGGGUGAAGAAAUCCUUCGGGAUGUAAAGCCCUGUUGUAUGGGAAGAGCGGAAGACGGUACCAUACGAGGAAGCCCCGGCAAACUACGUGCCAGCAGCCGCGGUAAU
Molecule: ribosomal RNA, 171 nt
Filed under: uncultured Synergistota bacterium
Lineage: Bacteria; Thermotogati; Synergistota
Description: uncultured Synergistetes bacterium partial 16S ribosomal RNA
Rfam family: Bacterial small subunit ribosomal RNA
Source: RNAcentral